UCCUACGGGAGGCAGCAGAGGGGAAUUUUGGACAAUGGGCGCAAGCCUGAUCCAGCAAUGCCGCGUGAGUGAAGAAGGCCUUCGGGUUGUAGAGCUCUUUUGUCAGGGAAGAAACGGUGAGUCCUAAUAUGGCUUGCUAAUGACGGUACCUGAAGAAUAAGCACCGGCUAACUACGUGCCAGCAGACGCGGUAAUACGUAGGGUGCAAGCGUUAAUCGGAAUUACUGGGCGUAAAGCGUGCGCAGGCGGUUAUAUAAGUCAGAUGUGAAAUCCCCGGGCUCAACCUGGGAACUGCAUUUGAGACUGUAUGGCUAGAGUGUGUCAGAGGGGGGUAGAACUCCACGUGUAGCAGUGAAGUGCGUAGAUAUGUGGAGGAAUACCGAUGGCGAAGGCAGCCCCCUGGGAUAACACUGACGCUCAUGCACGAAAGCGUGGGGAGCAAACAGGAUUAGAUACCCUGGUAGUCCACGCCCUAAACGAUGUCUACUAGUUGUCGGGACUUAAUUGUCUUGGUAACGCAGCUAACGCGUGAAGUAGACCGCCUGGGGAGUACGGUCGCAAGAUUAAAACUCAAAUGAAUUGACGGA
This 587-nucleotide ribosomal RNA is filed under the name uncultured bacterium. RNAcentral's name for it is "bacterial SSU rRNA". It matches the Rfam family "Bacterial small subunit ribosomal RNA", at positions 337 to 917 of the family's 1533-position model. The record is from RNAcentral.